GCCUAACAUCUAGCCCACACCAUACUCAUGAACCUUUUUCCACCCCCACGUACACAACAAAACAUUUUACCUCUUUAGUACAGGCGAUCGAAAAACUUAUAGGCGCUUCAGAUUAAGUACCGCAAGGGAAAGAUGAAAUAAAAAUGAAACAACUUAAAGCCCUAAACAGCAGAG
Molecule: ribosomal RNA, 174 nt
Filed under: Sanguirana tipanan
Lineage: Eukaryota; Metazoa; Chordata; Amphibia; Anura; Ranidae
Description: partial 16S ribosomal RNA
Source: RNAcentral